This 1104-nucleotide long non-coding RNA is filed under the name Manihot esculenta (cassava). RNAcentral describes it as "long non-coding RNA (MESC_LNC000634)". Lineage: Eukaryota; Viridiplantae; Streptophyta; Magnoliopsida; Malpighiales; Euphorbiaceae. The record is from RNAcentral.
ACUAAUGAGCUGUUUUGCAUCCAGCUACGCCUAUGAGGUCUUUUGCCUAUGGGCUAUAGCUAUGAUCUGUUGCUCACACCAUCAACUUUUUUUAUUUUUAAUGGAAGACGUGAUUGUAUAUGGAUUUUAAGUCUGAAAUCGAGUCAUCCUCCCAGUUGAGUAGCUUGGAAGGACAAAAAGGAAAAACAAAAGACAGCGCCGAUUCAUCAGGAAAAGGGAAUGGCCUCAAAUCACUUGUAAGCAAAGAAAAACAAACCAUUUUACCAAGUAAAGAGAUUUUUAUUUGGCUUUUCACUUAAUUGCCUUGCAUGGAAAUAUGUAAUUGAUAGACUUAAUUCAGCUGUAAAUUAUUUUUUUAUUAAUAGAGUUCAUUCAGCCAUAAAUUCCAUUAAAUUUUGAAGGGGGCAAAAAAAAGGUGAGUGUGUAAAUUGUAUAAUGAUAUACCUCCCUUUCAUGGAGCAAAAACAACAGGCUUUUUGUUUGGCCAGAAAUCCUAUAGCCCUAAAGCAGGAACACACAUAAUUAGGAUUGAGAAUUUCAAAACCUGUUUGAUAAAUUGCCCCAACGACCCUCUUAAAGUCCAAAACCCUUCUUUAUUGCCCUCCCUCACUCGGUCAUUAUUUCCAUACUGCGUCAUGUGAACAGUGAUCUACUGAUGGAUACCCAAAUGCCCAAAACUCCAUUGAGGGUAAAAGUGUACCCUGAAUUGACAUCUCCUUUCUAACUCCAUUUUUUUUUCUUGUAUUGAGCGCUUGAUUGGACCAUUUCUUUUGUUGCAUUAGCCAGAGUUAAAAAAAAUUAAAGAAGAGAAAAAAUCUGACAACCCUCUUUUUUAUCUCUUUCCCACUGGCAGGGUUUACCCAUUAAAAAAACUUGGUAAGUUGGGGCACUCAAGGACACAACAGGGAGAGGGGUGCGCCAAAUUCAAAGGCAGUUUUCAGCCUAGACACAAGUCUUGCUAGCCGAAGUGGAUAAAGAAAAACCUUGGGUUGGCGUUAGCAAAUAUGGAAAUCAAGUGGAAUGUCAGAUGUGUCAGUUUCGUGGAUAAACUAAUCAGAUUUUUUUUUUAUAAAGACCCUCCGGAUAAGACUCUAUAGAGAAGAC